RNAcentral lists this ribosomal RNA (301 nucleotides) under uncultured bacterium. RNAcentral describes it as "partial 16S ribosomal RNA". It matches the Rfam family "Bacterial small subunit ribosomal RNA", at positions 509 to 809 of the family's 1533-position model. The record is from RNAcentral.
CAGUAGCCGCGGUAAUACGUAGGUGGCGAGCGUUGUCCGGAAUUACUGGGCGUAAAGGGAGCGCAGGCGGACAUAUAAGUCCAUCUUAAAAGUGCGGGGCUCAACCCCGUGAGGGGAUGGAAACUGUAUGCCUUGAGUGCAGGAGAGGAAAGCGGAAUUCCCAGUGUAGCGGUGAAAUGCGUAGAUAUUGGGAGGAACACCAGUGGCGAAGGCGGCUUUCUGGACUGUAGCUGACGCUGAGGCUCGAAAGCCAGGGGAGCGAACGGGAUUAGAUACCCCUGUAGUCCCUGUCUCUUAUACA